Manduca sexta (tobacco hornworm) is the source of this 324-nucleotide long non-coding RNA. RefSeq lists it as uncharacterized. NCBI's taxonomy places the organism in Eukaryota, Metazoa, Arthropoda, Insecta, Lepidoptera, Sphingidae. The record is from RefSeq and is a predicted model, not a curated record. The transcript is spliced from 2 exons.
UCACAUUAAGCUUACGCGUCGGAAAUGUUGAACUUGCGGCAAUCACAAUUUAAAACAAUUUUGACAAGUAAUAUUCUAUAUUUUGUAGAGAUACCCCACCAAAUUCGUCUUUAUAAUAUUUAUCAAAUAUCGUAGACAGGGCGAUGUUAAGAGCAGCAGUGGCGGCGCUGGCGUGCCUUUAUUUGGCGCGCACCUCGCCGGCCGAACCAUACAGUCUGCGCGCUUAUUCACUCAGCACACAAAACCCUAAGGAUAUAAGUAAAAUACUGACUAGCAUAGAAGAACGUCUCAAAGUAUUGGACACAGUGAGCGCGGCGCAGGAAA